GCAAACGAUGAAAGUUGGAGGCCUUCUCAAACAACAACCGAUCACUGUUCUCAUCGACACGGGCAGCACUAAUAACUUCCUAAACAGUAAGGUUGCUGUCCAUAUGAACUUACCUAUUGAGAAUUGCAGUAGGUUUGUCGUUAAGGUCGCCAACGGACGGAUUUUGAAGGGUGAACAUAGGUGCCCGCAGGUGAAACUGUUGCUGCAGGA
RNAcentral lists this long non-coding RNA (210 nucleotides) under Musa acuminata (dwarf banana). RNAcentral's name for it is "long non-coding RNA (MACU_LNC009651)". Lineage: Eukaryota; Viridiplantae; Streptophyta; Magnoliopsida; Zingiberales; Musaceae. The record is from RNAcentral.